AUUGAACGCUGGCGGCAGGCCUAACACAUGCAAGUCGAACGGUAACAGGAAGAAGCUUGCUUCUUUGCUGACGAGUGGAGGACGGGUGAGUAAUGUCUGGGAAACUGCCUGAUGGAGGGGGAUAACUACUGGAAACGGUAGCUAAUACCGCAUAACGUCGCAAGACCAACGUGGGGGACCUUCGGGCCUCUUGCCAUCGGAUGUGCCCAGAUGGGAUUAGCUAGUAGGUGGGGUAACGGCUCACCUAGGCGACGAUCCCUAGCUGGUCUGAGAGGAUGACCAGCCACACUGGAACUGGAACACGGUCCAGACUCCUACGAGAGGCAGCAGUGGGGAAUAUUGCACAAUGGGCGCAAGCCUGAUGCAGCCAUGCCGCGUGUAUGAAGAAGGCCUUCGGGUUGUAAAGUACGUUCAGCGGGGAGGAAGGGAGUAAAGUUAAUACCUUUGCUCAUUGACGUUACCCGCAGAAGAAGCACCGGCUAACUCCGUG
Molecule: ribosomal RNA, 490 nt
Filed under: uncultured bacterium
Lineage: Bacteria
Description: partial 16S ribosomal RNA
Rfam family: Bacterial small subunit ribosomal RNA
Source: RNAcentral